This 376-nucleotide long non-coding RNA is filed under the name Cyanistes caeruleus (blue tit). RNAcentral's name for it is "lncRNA (ENSCCEG00000018985.1)". Lineage: Eukaryota; Metazoa; Chordata; Aves; Passeriformes; Paridae. The record is from RNAcentral.
GGAAGGUCAUUUGAACUGUCACCCAUCAAGGACAGUGUGUGGAAGUUGCUCAAAUCCCUGAGACCUCCUGGGCAUGGCACUGAGCUGCCUCAAAUCCCAAUCUCUCGAAGCAGAAGUGUGACAACAACUUAAUUUGAGGGAUAUCAUAUGAAAUUGGUUUGCUGUCCUGUGAGAAGGUCCCUGCAGUUACAGAGCUUUCAGACUGGGACCAUCUCCAUAAUGUUUAAUAAGGACAAAGGAAUACUUAGAGAUGUGAAAUGGAAGCUAUUUCUGACAAGUUGGGAUGUUCAUGGUGCUUCGUGGGUUGUCAUUUGAAAGGCUUCACUCAUGGAUGAAAACAGGAAAUAAAGAAUUUAUUAUUGAAUGAGGUAAACCA